Long non-coding RNA from Cucurbita maxima (winter squash), 613 nucleotides. RefSeq lists it as uncharacterized. The record is from RefSeq and is a predicted model, not a curated record. Lineage: Eukaryota; Viridiplantae; Streptophyta; Magnoliopsida; Cucurbitales; Cucurbitaceae. The transcript is spliced from 3 exons.
UAAAAGUGUUUAUUAAAUGAGGAAAAAUAUUAUUUGAAAAUUAACUCCGUAUACCAAUGAAAUCAUUACAAGAGAAAAAAAAAAAAGAAAAGGUAAUAUAAUAAUGAAGAAAAAAUUAAAAAAGAAAAAAGGAAAAAGGAAAAAAAAGGCAAUAUAAUAAUGACAAAAAUAAAUCGGUUACCAGUGGCGGGUUCCACGAGCCUGAGGUUGCUCUGUUUUUGCUCUGCUUCUUCUUCUUUCUUCUCCUUCUUCUUCAUUCAAUUCAAUUUCUCUGAAACACAGACAAGCAAACAGGCGAGUAGACCGAGAAAGAAGAAGAGACCCAAUGGACAAAUUUUGCUCGGAUCUCCACCUUCACGCAUUCCCAUAAUUUGGGAUUCUGUAAUUAAUCCCUACUACUAUUCCUUCCGUUUCUCUCUCUUUCUCUGAUUCUGUGCUCCUCGCAUGGACGGCUAUUACGCGUUCUCAUCGAUCUCAACGAUUAUUUCUGGAUCUGGAGUGGUUGUUGAUGUUGUUCAUGAUGCUUCUUCGCCGUCGAUUUGGAAUCGGAUGGAUACGGCGGCGGCCAUGAUUAGGAGGGGAGGUUAUGCCGGUGUUGUACUAUGGUGGUAUU